CACAUGACUCUCGGCAACGGAUAUCUCGGCUCUCGCAUCGAUGAAGAACGUAGCAAAAUGCGAUACCUGGUGUGAAUUGCAGAAUCCCGUGAACCAUCGAGUUUUUGAACGCAAGUUGCGCCCGAGACCUUCUGGUUGAGGGCACGUCUGCCUGGGCGUCACGC
Molecule: ribosomal RNA, 164 nt
Filed under: Eragrostis lurida subsp. contracta
Lineage: Eukaryota; Viridiplantae; Streptophyta; Magnoliopsida; Poales; Poaceae
Also listed under: 2 other names
Description: 5.8S ribosomal RNA
Rfam family: 5.8S ribosomal RNA
About the family: 5.8S ribosomal RNA (5.8S rRNA) is a component of the large subunit of the eukaryotic ribosome. It is transcribed by RNA polymerase I as part of the 45S precursor that also contains 18S and 28S rRNA. Functionally, it is thought that 5.8S rRNA may be involved in ribosome translocation.
Source: RNAcentral